Molecule: ribosomal RNA, 676 nt
Filed under: uncultured crenarchaeote
Lineage: Archaea; Thermoproteati; Thermoproteota
Description: bacterial SSU rRNA
Rfam family: Archaeal small subunit ribosomal RNA
Source: RNAcentral
CCCUAUGGGGUGCAGCAGUCGCGAAAACUUUGCAAUACACGAAAGUGUGACAAGGCUAUCCCGAGUGCCAUCCGCUGAGGAAGGCUUUUACCCAGUAUAAAUAGCUGGGAGAAUAAGGAGAGGGCAAGUCUGGUGUCAGCCGCCGCGGUAAUACCAGCUCUCCGAGUAGUGUGGAUGAUUAUUGGGCCUAAAGCAUCCGUAGCUUGCUAUGCAAGUCCCUUGUUAAAUCCACCGAUUUAAUCGUUGGAUUGCGGGGGAUACUGUUUGGCUAGGGGACGGGAGAGGCCGACGGUAUUUCCGGGGUAGGGGUGAAAUCCUAUAAUCCCGGGAAGACCACCAGUGGCGAAGGCUGUCGGCUAGAACGCGCCCGACGGUGAGGGAUGAAAGCUGGGGGAGCGAACCGGAUUAGAUACCCGGGUAGUCCCAGCCGUAAACGAUGCAGGCUAGGUGUUUGGGCGGCCACGAGCCGCUCUAGUGCCGCAGGGAAGCUGUUAAGCCUGCCGCCUGGGGAGUACGGCCGCAAGGCUGAAACUUAAAGGAAUUGGCGGGGGAGCACCACAAGGGGUGAAGCUUGCGGUUUAAUUGGAGUCAACGCCGGAAAUCUCACCGGGAGCGACAGCAGUAUGAAGGCCAGAUUAAAGGUCUUGCUAGACGAGCUGAGAGGAGGUGCAUGGCC